AGUCACUGACAUUAGAUACCCGCGUAGUCCAGGGUGUAAACGCUGCAGACUUGGUGUUGGAGGCCCGUUUGGGGGCAUUCAGUGCCGGAGAGAAGUUGUUAAGUCUGCUACUUGGGAGUACGUCCGCAAGGAUGAAACUUAAAGGAAUUGGCGGGGGAGCACCGCAACGGGAGGAGCGUGCGGUUUAAUUGGAUUCAACACCGUAAACUCACCAGGGAAGACUGUUACAUGAAGGCCGAGAUGAAGACUCUGCUAGAUUUUCAG
RNAcentral lists this ribosomal RNA (264 nucleotides) under uncultured archaeon. Its description in RNAcentral is "partial 16S ribosomal RNA". It matches the Rfam family "Archaeal small subunit ribosomal RNA", at positions 716 to 982 of the family's 1478-position model. The record is from RNAcentral.